CUAAAAGAGCAUGGAAACCCCACAGACAGGUUUACACCAGCGCAUUUGAUGCAGUCUUGGUUUAGGUUCAGGUUUUCUAGCUUUUCUUUCCUGAUUUAAAUCUAAUUUUAAAAAUUUUCUGAAGAAUUAUGACAUUAAUCUCUUAAUGUGUCACAAUACUGAAAAUCAAUCCUCCUUUUUUCAUAUUAAAGGCUAGUCAAAUGAAGCAGUGGGAGUGGAAAAGGAACAAAUAAAUCUGUAACUGGUUGUGAUCAAUUAGUUGUAAGCACCACUGCACGAGGACCAGCCCAAAGCUGCUACUUAACCAAGUGACUUUCUGAUUGCUCAACUGUGUUUCAACCGGGAAAAAUGCAUUGAAAUGAAACAUCUCAUUUCCAGUACU
Chlorocebus sabaeus (green monkey) is the source of this 382-nucleotide long non-coding RNA. RefSeq lists it as uncharacterized. NCBI's taxonomy places the organism in Eukaryota, Metazoa, Chordata, Mammalia, Primates, Cercopithecidae. The record is from RefSeq and is a predicted model, not a curated record.